GACGAACGCUGGCGGCGUGCCUAAUACAUGCAAGUUGAGCGAUGAAGAUUGGUGCUUGCACCAAUUUGAAGAGCAGCGAACGGGUGAGUAACGCGUGGGGAAUCUGCCUUUGAGCGGGGGACAACAUUUGGAAACGAAUGCUAAUACCGCAUAACAACUUUAAAAAUAAGUUUUAAGUUUGAAAGAUGCAAUUGCAUCACUCAAAGAUGAUCCCGCGUUGUAUUAGCUAGUUGGUGAGGUAAAGGCUCACCAAGGCGACGAUACAUAGCCGACCUGAGAGGGUGGUCGGCCUCCCUGGCAUUGCGACGCGGCCCCCUCUCCUGCGGGAGGCAGCAGUAGGGACUCUUCGGCAAUGGACGCAAGUCUUACCGAGCAACGCCGCGUGAGUGAAGAAGGUUUUCGGAUCGUAAAACUCUGUUGUUAGCGAAGAACGUUGGUGAGAGUGGAAAGCUCAUCAAGUGACGGUAACUACCCAGAAAGGGACGGCUAACUACGUG
This 497-nucleotide ribosomal RNA is filed under the name uncultured bacterium. RNAcentral describes it as "partial 16S ribosomal RNA". It matches the Rfam family "Bacterial small subunit ribosomal RNA", at positions 28 to 507 of the family's 1533-position model. The record is from RNAcentral.